GGAAACAUGUCUAGCUUGCUAGAUGAUGUCGAGUGGCGGACGGGUGAGUAAUGCUUGGGAACUUGCCUUUGCGAGGGGGAUAACAGUUGGAAACGACUGCUAAUACCGCAUAAUGUCUACGGACCAAACAGGGCUUCGGCUCUGGCGCAAAGAGAGGCCCAAGUGAGAUUAGCUAGUUGGUGAGGUAAAGGCUCACCAAGGCAACGAUCUCUAGCUGUUCUGAGAGGAAGAUCAGCCACACUGGGACUGAGACACGGCCCAGACUCCUACGGGAGGCGGCAGUGGGGAAUAUUGCACAAUGGGGGAAACCCUGAUGCAGCCAUGCCGCGUGUGUGAAGAAGGCCUUCGGGUUGUAAAGCACUUUCAGUUGUGAGGAAAAGUUAGUAGUUAAUACCUGCUAGCCGUGACGUUAACAACAGAAGAAGCACCGGCUAACUCCGUGCCAGCAGCCGCGGUAAUACGGAGGGUGCGAGCGUUAAUCGGAAUUACUGGGCGUAAAGCGCACGCAGGCGGUUUGUUAAGCUAGAUGUGAAAGCCCCGGGCUCAACCUGGGACGGUCAUUUAGAACUGGCAGACUAGAGUCUUGGAGAGGGGAGUGGAAUUCCAGGUGUAGCGGUGAAAUGCGUAGAUAUCUGGAGGAACAUCAGUGGCGAAGGCGACUCCCUGGCCAAAGACUGACGCUCAUGUGCGAAAGUGUGGGUAGCGAACAGGAUUAGAUACCCUGGUAGUCCACACCGUAAACGCUGUCUACUAGCUGUUUGUGACUUUAAGUCGUGAGUAGCGAAGCUAACGCGAUAAGUAGACCGCCUGAAGAGUACGGCCG
Molecule: ribosomal RNA, 823 nt
Filed under: uncultured Gammaproteobacteria bacterium
Lineage: Bacteria; Pseudomonadati; Pseudomonadota; Gammaproteobacteria
Description: bacterial SSU rRNA
Rfam family: Bacterial small subunit ribosomal RNA
Source: RNAcentral